CUACGUGCCAGCAGCCGCGGUAAUACGGAGGGUGCAAGCGUUAAUCGGAAUUACUGGGCGUAAAGCGCACGCAGGCGGUUUGUUAAGUCAGAUGUGAAAUCCCCGGGCUCAACCUGGGAACUGCAUUUGAAACUGGCAAGCUAGAGUCUCGUAGAGGGGGGUAGAAUUCCAGGUGUAGCGGUGAAAUGCGUAGAGAUCUGGAGGAAUACCGAUGGCGAAGGCAGCCUCCUGGGAUAACACUGACGUUCAUGCUCGAAAGCGUGGGUAGCAAACAGGAUUAGAUACCCUGGUAGUCCACGCCCUAAACGAUGUCAAUUAGCUGUUGGGCAACUUGAUUGCUUAGUAGCGUAGCUAACGCGUGAAAUUGACCGCCUGGGGAGUACGGUCGCAAGAUUAAAACUCAAAGGAAUUGACGGGGACCCGCACAAGCGGUGGAUGAUGUGGAUUAAUUCGAUGCAACGCGAAGAACCUUACCUGGUCUUGACAU
Molecule: ribosomal RNA, 487 nt
Filed under: uncultured bacterium
Lineage: Bacteria
Description: bacterial SSU rRNA
Rfam family: Bacterial small subunit ribosomal RNA
Source: RNAcentral